CCGCUUUCUCGGAGAAUGGAGGUGAGUUUAACGCAAUCCUAAAACAUCGAAGACCGUGCGAUGCGUUUUAGCGUGUAUUUUUUGUGUCCGUCGGUCCCGCAUCGCCUCGUGGUUCCACCGCAGUCCCUUCUGCAGAGGUUGGAUGAUGCAGAAUGAGCUGCCCUUUAUAAAGGAGUCCCAUCAAUCCUACUAGAGAUGGUCCCAGCGAGACUUCUCCAAGAGAUGUUGCAGUGCUGCCUGUGAGGAGACCUCUGUCGUGUGAGCCCAUCUGCUGAUGGCCUGUAGGACGGGUCGAGCUAGUGCAGGUGCUGAUGGCUUGUAGGACUGGUCGAGCUAGUGCUGCUCCUACCCAGCAAGUGGAACAAAUCUGGAAGUUCAUCUGUGUGGUUGUUUAACUCUACUUGUAUGAUUUAUCAAGUCUAUAAAUAAAAGACCCUUUGGCUGA
Puntigrus tetrazona (Sumatra barb) is the source of this 445-nucleotide long non-coding RNA. RefSeq lists it as uncharacterized. Lineage: Eukaryota; Metazoa; Chordata; Actinopteri; Cypriniformes; Cyprinidae. The record is from RefSeq and is a predicted model, not a curated record. The transcript is spliced from 7 exons.